This is a long non-coding RNA of Amphiprion ocellaris (clown anemonefish), 563 nucleotides long. The record is from Ensembl. Lineage: Eukaryota; Metazoa; Chordata; Actinopteri; Pomacentridae.
CAAAAAUCAAGUGUUCAUUUGAUGAACUUCAUUUCCUUAAACAUCCAGAAUUGGAGCUCAUAUCUUUGGCAGCUGUAAAGUUUCUGCUCCUUCAAAGUUCACAAAACAAUGAAUGAAUUCCUAAAACACUCUCAAUGCUGGAGAGCGUUUGUGAUGCUGAAGCAGUGAGCAGUUUUUCAGUUUCUUCUCUGGAGAUGCACAAUGAGGGACGUCUGCAGCGACUGAGAAAGAGUCUCACCACAUCCUGACAUGAGGAAAAAGACUUUAUUGAAGACUACAAUGAGAAAAACUAUCAGACAGCAGACGGCUGCAUUCAAGUCUGUAGCUGCUGAAUUCAUGGAUGAAUCAUCUGGCACUAGAGAGGAAGAUCAUCAAACAUCCACAUCAGCUGAUGGAGGUCCAAGAGUCUCACCAAACAAACAACCUACAGAGUGAAGACCUCCAAUCUGAUUGGACGGCCUCCUAUUCAGCCACAUGCUGUUAGAUUGUUCCAGAUAAGACAAGUACAAGAUUCUUCAGAGCCGUUCUACCAGGAGCCUGACAGGAAGAACUCCAACAGCUAC